Molecule: ribosomal RNA, 167 nt
Filed under: uncultured Glomeromycotina
Lineage: Eukaryota; Fungi; Glomeromycota
Description: partial 18S ribosomal RNA
Rfam family: Eukaryotic small subunit ribosomal RNA
Source: RNAcentral
UCUUGGGAUUAUUGAAGACUAACUACUGCGAAAGCAUUUGNCAAGGGAUGUUUUCCCNUNUAAGAACGAAAGUUAGGGGAUCGAAGACGAUCAGAUACCCCUUUNUANACAUUAACCAUAAACUAUGCCGACUAGGGAUCGGAUGAUGUUAAUUUUUUAAUGACUCA